Long non-coding RNA from Poecilia reticulata (guppy), 259 nucleotides. RefSeq lists it as uncharacterized. The record is from RefSeq and is a predicted model, not a curated record. NCBI's taxonomy places the organism in Eukaryota, Metazoa, Chordata, Actinopteri, Cyprinodontiformes, Poeciliidae.
UGGCAGAUUGUCAAUCUCCUCUGUGUUGGACCAGGUGUGUUGGCCCACGCCUUCCACUGUUUGUCAUCAGGGCCACACUACAUGUUGUAAUUGGACAAGUGCUUUACCUGGGCGUGUGGUUGAUCGACGCUGCAGUUGUUGCUGCACCCUGCUGUUCCUUUUGAUUUCCUUUUUCCAUAGUUUUUCAUUUAUUUUGUUUACUUAUUGUUUUGCAAAUAUACAUCCUCUUAUUUUGUACUAAUAAAUAUUGUCCUUUUUA